GCUGGUGUAGCUCAGUUGGUAGAGCAGCUCAUUCGUAAUGAGCAGGUCGUGGGUUCAAGUCCCUUCACCAGCUCCA
RNAcentral lists this transfer RNA (76 nucleotides) under Clostridia bacterium. Its description in RNAcentral is "tRNA-Thr". It matches the Rfam family "tRNA". Rfam says of the family: Transfer RNA (tRNA) molecules are approximately 80 nucleotides in length. Their secondary structure includes four short double-helical elements and three loops (D, anti-codon, and T loops). Further hydrogen bonds mediate the characteristic L-shaped molecular structure. tRNAs have two regions of fundamental functional importance: the anti-codon, which is responsible for specific mRNA codon recognition, and the 3' end, to which the tRNAs corresponding amino acid is attached (by aminoacyl-tRNA synthetases). tRNAs cope with the degeneracy of the genetic code in two manners: having more than one tRNA (with a specific anti-codon) for a particular amino acid; and 'wobble' base-pairing, i.e. permitting non-standard base-pairing at the 3rd anti-codon position. The record is from RNAcentral. RNAcentral also lists the same sequence under 1 other name. Lineage: Bacteria; Bacillati; Bacillota; Clostridia.